UACAGAGGUCUCAAGCGUUGUUCGGAUUCAUUGGGCGUAGAGGGUGCGUAGGCGGCGCGGUAAGUCGGGUGUGAAAUCUCGGAGCUUAACUCCGAAACUGCAUUCGAUACUGCCGUGCUUGAGGACUGGAGAGGAGACUGGAAUUUACGGUGUAGCGGUGAAAUGCGUAGAUAUCGUAAGGAAGACCAGUGGCGAAGGCGGGUCUCGGGACAGUUCCUGACGCUGAGGCACGAAGGUCAGGGGAGCAAACGGG
RNAcentral lists this ribosomal RNA (253 nucleotides) under uncultured bacterium. Its description in RNAcentral is "partial 16S ribosomal RNA". It matches the Rfam family "Bacterial small subunit ribosomal RNA", at positions 524 to 776 of the family's 1533-position model. The record is from RNAcentral.